Molecule: unclassified non-coding RNA, 252 nt
Filed under: Hevea brasiliensis (rubber tree)
Lineage: Eukaryota; Viridiplantae; Streptophyta; Magnoliopsida; Malpighiales; Euphorbiaceae
Source: RNAcentral
CAAGGCAGGGAUGCAGCUUUGAACCCGGCUCAAACGGCCUGUGCGACCUUGUAGUCGAACAAAUAGCCCUCCAGCGCCUUCUCGACCACGCCCUGCUGACCAGANNNNNNNNNCCCGCCGUUCCGGUGACAUCAAUGCCCGGCUGGCCGCCGGCCGCGACAUCAAUCCUCGCGCUGUCGGACCCAACGGCAUCCGCCACCACCUGCUCCACCAGCCGCUGCACGGCGUCGGUCCGCAACUGCGGCUUUAAGA